CUGUCCCGGAAGUCAUAAAAUAAUGAGCAGUUGGCCACAUUGAAACAGCAGCAGGUCCAAGAGAAUCACAUCACAGAACCCGUCAAACCCAAACCACAAUAUACGUCCCAAUCUUGUUGGCCGUUCCCUCCCCCCGUUUUGUAGGUGGGGGUUCUUUCCCUAUAUAAGGUCCUCUAUUCUCCACACAGAUAGUUUUCAUUCUCUUCCAUCUAUUCCAUUCCCCUUCUCUCCUCUCCCGUUCCAUCUCCGUUGAACUUGUGUUACAGGUACGUAUUCAAUUAUGUUAUCUCCCUUUUGCAUCAAAUGCCACAUUAAUAUCUCUCUCUCUCUCUCUUCUUCAAUAGUUAAUCAUCUCCUCUUCUGGAUUGUCCGAUAAAAAAUUUCGAUGUUUUUUUCUAAAGAUUUUCUACCUUUUUUUUAUGAAAUCUCAGUGUUUGUUCUUGCGUUUAAUGGCGUUGAUUCAUUCACCGCUUAUCUGUUUGGUUCUUUAGCGAGUCACAAGAAAGAGAACUAAAUCUUGUUGCGUCAUAGUAUGAAUUUCCUCUUUAGCUUAAUUCUCACUUUUUCUUUGUACAGACUUCGGUUUUUGAUACUUUUGCGUCAUAUUUAAUUUUUCUUCCAUCGCAUAAUUUAGUACAGCUUGUUGAUCGUAAUCAUAUUUUAAUUGCUUUUUCGUUUUUCUAUUGGAAUUUUCAGAUCAUAAAAAUACAUGUCACGUAUAAUCACGAUCCAGCAUUGAGGAAAAGCCGUUGCUUGUUUUCUCAGGUGCGCUAUGCUGUUUCUUUUGAGCUGAAAUCUAGGCUUCAGUUAGUCUUUUGUCCUAAAAUUACUUUUGGCUCACAAAGCGUUAUUUUGCCAAGUUGUUGGAGUCCCAUUCCUUUUUCGCCGAUGUCUAGAGACCAGAAGCAUCUUAAGUUAAACUUUUUAAAUAACGUUGUUAAUAAGUUUUGCUUAGUCGAAUCUGUGGUGGCUCCAUAUUUGUUAGGGCAUGUACACUUUAAUUUUCUUUGUUUAUUUGCAUCGUCCUUUUGGUUCAUCACACUAGUUCAAAGAAAACCAACAACAACAACAAUAAACUAAGUAAUUUUCUACAAGUGGGAUCUGGGGAGGGUAAGAAAUACCCAAUCUUACCCCAAUAAGAUAAAAAUAAGAACGAAACCAAGAAAAUAGAUAAACUACACGUAGUAAUAUCAAUCUAUCAAUAAAAGGAUAUCAUACUAACGCUAAUGCUAGCGAAUUGAGUAAGACCUAGAGAAACGCUCGACUACCUACUAGCCUUCUACCCUAAUCUUCGACGUCCACACUCUCCUAUCUAGGUCAUGUCCUCAGUCAGCUCCAGCUCCGCCAUAUCCCGCCUAAUCACCUCUCCCCAAGGCUCCUUAGGCCUACAUUUACCCCUCUUAAUACCCAUCAUGGCUAAUCUUUCCCACCAUCUAACUAGGGCUUCUAUGCUUUUCCUUUUAACAUGCCCGAACCGUCUCAACCUCGCCUCUCGCAUCUUAUCCUCCACAUGGGUCACUCCCACCUUAUUCCGAUUAACUUCAUUCCUAAUCUCAUCUAACCUGGUAUGCCCACACAUCCACCUUAACAUCCUCAUCUCAGCUACUUUCAUCUUCUGGACAUGAGAGUUUUUGACAGGCCAUCACUUUUCUCCAUACAACAUAGUCGGUCUAAUUACUACCUUGUAGAACUUACCUUUAAGUCUCAGUGGUACAUUCUUAUCACAUAAGACACUGGAAGCAAACCUCCACUUCAUCCAUCCUGCUCCAAUACGAUGUGUGACAUCCUCAUCAAUCUCUCUAUUACCUUGUAUUAUCGAUCCAAGGUACUUGAAACUUUCUCUCCUUGGGAUGACUUGUGUAUCAAGCCUCACACCUAUGUCCGCUUUCUAAAUAACUUCGUUGAACUUGUACUCUAAAUGCUCCAUCUUGGUCCUGCUCAGCUUAAACUCUUAGACUCAAGAGUCUGUCUCCAAACCUCCAGUCUGUCGUCAACACCUCCUCGUGUCUCGUCAAUCAGAACUAUAUCAUCCGUAAAUAACAUACACCAUGACACCUCCUGUCGAAUGUGUCGCUCAAUGUGUCCAUCGCCAAAGAAAACAAAAAAAGGCUAAGAGUUGAUCCCUGAUGCAACCCCAUCAUAAUCGGAAAGUGUUCUGAGUCUCCUCCCGCUAUCCUCACCCAUGACUUAGCUCCAUCAUACAUUUCCUUAAUUACUCUAAUAUAGGCUAUAGGCACACCUUUAACCUCUAAACACCUCCAUAGAACCUCUCUUGGGACUUUGUCGUAUGCUUUCUCUCAGUUUAUGAACACCAUAUGCAAGUCCUUCUUCAUUGUCCUAUACUGCUCCACCAAUCUCCUUACCAAAUAAAUUGCUUCUGUAGUCGAAUGAUCUGGCAUGAACCGAACUUGUUCUCGAAAAUAUACACACUCUUCUUCAUCCUCCCUUCCACCACCCUCUCCCAAACUUUCAUCGUAUGACUUAGCAGUUUGAUACCUCUAUAGUUAUUGCAAUUCUGGAUAUCACCCUUAUUCUUGUGCAACAGAAUCACCGUACUCCACCUUCAUUCUUCAGGCAUCCGCUUUGUUCUAAAAUUGAUGUUGAACAACCUACAGAGUUAUUCUAAGCAUGUCUUACCCGCGCUCUUCCAGAAUUCUACCGGGAUCUCGUAUGGUCUGGUCGCUCUACCCUUGCUCAUCCUACGCAUCGUCCCCUCGACCUCCCCCACACUUAUGCGACUACAGUACCCAAAGUCCCGAUGAAUCUCGACGUACUCCAGAUCACCCAACACAUAUCCCUAUCCCCCAUCAUUCAAGAGUUUACAGAAGUAUGAUUGUCACCUCCGUCUAAUCUGAGCCUCAUCUAUCAGCACUCUACCCUCCUCGUCUUUUAUGUACUUUACUUGAUCUAGAUCAGCGGCCUUCCUUUUUCUCACUUUGGCCAGCCUGUACAGCUUCUUAUCCCCGCUUAUCUCCCCAAGCUCGUCAUACAAACGUCCAAACAUUGCAGUCCUAGCCACAGUGAUCGCUAACUUUGUCUCCUUUUUAGCCUUCUUAUACCACUCUCUGUUGGUCCUCUUCUCCACCUCGUUUAUGCUCUCUUCUAGAUUUUAUAUUAAAUUUUUUAAUUAUUCCCAUUGCUAACACAAAUAUUCUUAUUCAUAUUUAAUAUCGCCACUCAAACAAUACAUAAAGUUAUACAUGUAUUUUCUUUUUUCUUAUAGCACCAACCAAAUGCUUCAUAAGUUAUCCAGUAAUUACUUGUAGCUUCUUCAAGGAGCUGGUCUUGGAUGUUAAAGGUAAGUUAAAGGACAAUACCUAGUUUGAAAUACAAGUUGUAGUUUUCAAAGAAUAGGUAACUUAACCUUUUGAAAUAUCUUUCGAAAUUCAAACUCUAAUUAACUUGUUUGUCGUUCUACAUAGAUGUAUUUAUUGAGGGAAAAACUCCUCAAUAAGAAUAUGCAAGUAGUUAGAUUCGUUAGCUUCCAAGAAUUUCAUGUCAACAACAACAACAACAACAAACUCAGUGUAAUUCCACAAGUGGGGUCUGAAAAAGGUAGAGUGUAGACCUUACCCCUACCUUAAGAAGGUAGAGAAACUGUUUCCGGUAGACCCUCAGCUCAAGAAUGAUAGAGAGGAAGGAGUAACAGCAAGCAACAACACCAGCAAACCAAUCAUAAAACCGAAGCGAAAGAAAUAAUAAAUAAUAACAAAAAUCUAAUAAUAUGAAAAUACAAGACUAACACUAAGGAAUGUAUUAGAACUACUGGAACGAGCAAGGACAACGCACUACUACCUAGCCAUCUAUUUUAACUAGUUACUAGUACGCGCGUUGCGCUUGUACCUUGUCUAAAUGAGUAAAAAAAUAUUUUGAAAAAGAAAAAAUCAUCUGUCAAUAUAUAAAGAUUAAACUAUACUAAUUUAUCACAAUUAAGUGACAAAAAAGUUAAAAAUAUAUAUAUUAAUUAACUAUGAUUCAGUAAUACUAUUAAAUACAAAGACAAAUAUCAUAAAUAUAAUAUGUGUUCUAAUAUUAUAAAGCAUAUUAUUUUUAUGCUUAGUUACCAGAUUUUAUAGUAACUACGUAAAAGGAAGUUCUUGUAUACAUAGACUAACGUAGAAUAUAUGAAUAAUACUGUUUUAAAACAAAAGGGAUCCUUUUCUUAUUUGAGGUAAAUUAUCAAGUGAAUUUAAACUUCUAAAUAUUAGGAUCUAAUUCAAUAAGGAAAGAUAUAAUAAUUAAAAUUUAGUUGAUUUUAAAUUCUUAAAUAUUAGGAAAAUAAUUUAAAUGACAAUUUUGUCUAGUGUGAAAUCUAAUUUUAAAGGGUAAAAAAAGCGAAUGACAUUUCGCUAAGGCCUUCGUGCUUUUAAUAUAGUAUAGAUUAUCAUCUUCCACACCUUCUUAUCCAGGGUUAUGUCCUUGGUAAGCUGGAGAAUCGACAUGUCUUUUAAUAACUUCUCCCCAAUAUUUCUUCGACCUGCCUCUAUCUCUCCUUAUAGGCCCUUCAAUACCAACUUCUCAUACCUCCUUACUGAGGCAUUUGUGGCUCUCCAUUUUACAUGCCCGAACCAUCUGAGCCUCGCGUCCCGCAUGUUGUCCUCUACAAGGGUCAUGCCCACCAUGUCACGAAUAACUUUAUUCCUAAUUUUAUCUAACCCGGUAUGCCCGCAUAUCCAUCUCAACAUCUUCAUUUCUGCUACCUUCAUCUUUUGGACAUGUGAGUUCUUGAUUGGCUAACACUCAGCCCCAUAUAAUAGUUGGUCUAACCGCCACUCUAUAGAACCUACCUUUAAUUUUUGGUGGUAUAUUCUUAAUACACAAAAUACCUGAAGCGAGUUUUUGUUAUAUCCAUCCCGCCUUAAUACGAUGUGUGACGUCCUCGUCAAUCUGCCCAUUUCUUUGUAUAACUAACCUAAGCUACUUGAAACUUUCUCUCCUAGGGAUGACUUAUGAAUCAAUCCUCACAGCUUCGUCCAUUUCCUGAAUCGCUCUACUUAACUUGCACUCCAAACAUUAUAUCUUGGUCCUUCUCAACUUGAAACCUUUAAACUCCAGGGUCUGCCUCCAAACCUCUAACCUCGCGUUCGAGUGAUGAAUCACUACUUAAGUUUUUUUGAACCCACUUUACUUAACAUGGAAGAAACAUGUCACUACUCUUAAGCUGGCUCCUUUCCUCAUUUGAUGAUAAUAAUUCGUUGUGUAGAUUGUGGGUUGUGUGAGUGUUUACCUCUCAAUCUUGUAUGAGCUAUGCUAAUGCAACUCGGGAUACAAUUGCAAAACACCAAAAGUGUAACCUCUUCCAUGGUGGAUUACCUGCAAAAAUGGACAUACAAUUAUAACCUUGCUGCAGCUACUCAACCAGUCUCUGAUGGAGGUUUGAUUCUCUACAUUUUUAGAGGUUUAUACCCUUAUUAUGAUGGAUUAGUCGCGUCCGCCACUUUGACCGUGUCUCUGUAUUGGGAAAAUCGAGUUUACAUAUUAAAGUAAUUGGAAGAUGACGUGUCAUGACACGAAGGCUGGUCAAAGAGUGAUGAUUGACAAAGAGGCACGAGUUGCAAUAGAUACGAGCAGAAGGUACAAAUAGAGGCACGAGCAGUUAUUCAAAAUAUUCAACGCUCGUACCUAUUUAUACUCAAAAGUCAAGGAGAAUGAAUCUAACAGCAUAAGAGAGUACAGAUACAAUAUUUAAUAAGCAGUAAAUACUUAAAACAUUAUAGAAUAUAAAUUACAAUGAUUAUGUAACGUAGGAGGAGGAUGUGGUUAAGGUACACAUAUAGGGAAUGCCUCCCACCGCCAAAUAUUCACUACCGCCUCCCGCACUCCUCCUUUAACCAACCUAUUUUUCUCAAGCAAGUAAGAUUGCAAAUUAAAGACAUGCUAUGCAAGAGGAAUAUAUUGCAUUCAUUUUGUAAUGCUUUCAUCUAACUUGUACUUUGGUACCUUCCUCGGGUGCUAAACACCUUGUUGGGUGUAGGUGAUCACUUCAAGUUGAAACUCAAUGUCGAUGGUUCCAUUGAAAGCUACAGAGCGAGAGUUGCAUCAAAGGAUUUCAAUCAAGAAGUUGGACUAGACUGUCAGGUCACAUUUAGUGUUGUUAAACCUACCACAAUAAGAAUUGUCCUCACUUUUUUAAAAAAAAUGAAGAAGGGUCCAUACGGAAUCAUUGACGAGACGAAAAAACUGGUUGGGGGGUACUAACUUGUGGUCUAAUCUAUAACAAUGUGGGGACUUAUGAAAGGAGCAAAGGAAGAUCAUGGCAGGUGAGGCUAGAAGAGACGCAAUUACCAAAAUCAGUAGGGAAGGAAACUUCGGGUUAAGACAAAUUUUGGAGCUAUCUUUCCAUGGUUUAAGGAGGCAUCAAUGAAAUGUGUUUAAAUAUGAUAUUAUGAUGAUGGAAAGUGAGUCGUGAAGAGGAUAUAAAUAGAAAAAAUUGAGAGAUUAAAGAAAUUUAGAGAUACAAGUUAUGAUCCAUAGCCCUACGGUGCUGAUUCAAUUACAAAAGUAUUAUAACGCAAGAUGUGUGUAAGGCACAUGUCAUGAGUUUGAGUUUGAAUGAAGGAUGAUGUUUGGUGUUUAAGUGAAGAAGGAUAGAAAAAGAGGGAGGCAGCUAAACUAGGUAAAAGAGAGACGAACACGUUUCUUAUCUCAAUUGGGUGAGAAGGAAUUUUGUUUAAAUUUCUCCUACUCAACUAGUAUCACCCAUUUGUCCCAAUUCAUGUGAGGGUGGUUGACAGGACACAACAAAGUUUAAAAGACAAAAAUGAUUUCUAAAACUUUUAGUCUAAAUAAAGAGAUAAAAAAAUUUGUAGCUAAAAGCAAUAUUCUAAAAGGCAGGGACGUGAGGCGAUGCGUUUUACCUCUGACGAGGCGAGGCGUAAGUUCUGAGACAUGGGGCGUAAGUCCCACGGAUCUUUAAAUUUUAUUAAUUUUAAGAUAGUAUAAAAUAAAAAAACAAUUAUAAAAUUACAUUAAAAUCACAAAAAUAUAACAAAUAAUAUAUUUAAAAUAUUUAUGAAUUAUAAUUCAACUAUGAAUAAUAUGAAAAGUAUGACAUAUAUCACAAUAUGCAGAUUAGCUGCAACGUCGUUACAACUCAAAUGUAUUCGAUAUGAAAUCUCAUAUGUAUCUCUCAAGGAGUAAUGAAUCUUGAAAGAAUUUCGAUAUUAUAAUUUGAUAUUUUUUUUUUUUAAAAAAAUACUCCGUUUAUUAAAUAUGCUUUCUAUUUGAAAGAGAAUUUAUGUAAAAACAUAAUUCACAAUUUAAAUACGAUUCUCUAGCAUCCUUUAUUUUUAAGUUUCAACAAGUUAAUAAAGUGACACAUAAUUCAUCAUAUAAUAGCGUGAUAACUAAUUAUUUGUAAAUAGUUACUAGCUAAUACUGAGAUAUUAAAAUAAUAAGUAUUGUAUCUCGUAAACGUGAAAAAAAUAAUAUUUAGUAAAAUAAUUAUAAAAAAUUAUGGACUAUUAUAUAAUAAAGACAUAACAAAAGUUAAUAAAUAAAUACUUUUUAAAUGAAAGAUUUAUUUAAAAUUUACUAUNNNNNNNNNNNNNNNNNNNNNNNNNUUUUAAAAUAAAGGCUAAAAGUUAUCUCGUUAAGAGUAAAAUGAGAAACGUAAAGUUAAUUAUUUUUUCUAGACGUACUGAUGGAGUACUAAUUUGUAAACUAUAGUAGAAGGAGGUGAGCGAUCAAUUUCUGCUCGGCCAAGAAAUUGAAGCUGCUAAAUGUUUCACGUAAUAUGUAACACUUACAUACAAUUGGUCUUUAAUUGACUUGAUUUCAUAUUUUUUAUGCUAUCCGUGGAAAACAACUCAAAUAAAAAAUAAGAUGAAUUAUGUUAAUAUGCUAUUUUAAAAAAUAUACACUUUAUUUUGUUUUAUUUUCUGUUUUAGCAGUCUAUAUUUAUAAUUACGAUUUUUUGAGUAAAUUGUUAAAUGUAUAUAUAAAAAAAAUUAGAUUCAAAUAAAAUUAAUACUCACCAGAUAGUCACAGACUCACAGUAAAACAGCAGCAGAUCCCGAGAGCUUUAGUGAAUUUUUUUUCAUUAUUUUCGAAAAAAUUUACUUUUUUUUUUUAAAUCAAUGUUUGGCCAUAAAAUUUUUAAUUUUUCACUUGAAGAUGAAUUUUGAAAUUUUUCGAAAACUUCAAAAAGUUGUUUUUCAAAUUUUUCAUUCAGAUCACUCAUAAAAAUUAAAAAACAAUCUAAAAUUAUAUUUAUGUCCAAACACAACUCUAAUUUUCAAAUACCAUUUCCAUUUGGAAAAAAAAAUUUACAAUUAAUUCUUAUGUCCAAACGCCCUCUCCGAGAAGCACAAGAACAUGGUUUUCUCAAUAAAAUAAUCACCAGUUGGGCCACCGUGAAAUAAACAGCAGCAGUCCCCAGAGAAUCAAAACCAGUUUCCUGAAUGAAAAUACCCAAACCAAAUAUAGUGGGGGCACCCCCUACCCACCCCCAAUUUCUCAUCUCAAGCCCCUGCCCCACUCUCUACUCCGGGUUCACGCAGAUAUUUUUCAUUGUUCUCUCCUCUCUUUCCGUUUCCAUAAACUUAUCUGGUAGGUAUCUAUUCUCCCGUUUCUCUUUCUGCUGAAAACGCCAUUGAAAUGACUCUUAUUUUUCUUUCAAUUCUCAGUGCAUCUUCAUUCAUCUUCUCCUCAAAUUGUCCGAUUAACUUUUCGAUCACUCACAACACUAUGAAAUUGCAAUCAUUUUGGCCAUUAAUGGCGGCGGUUCAUUCACUUCUUUUCUGUUUUGUUCCUAAGAAAGAUAGAAAAAAAUCUUUUUUUAAUAUCAUAUGCUAAACGCAUUUUCACCUUUGCUUAUAGACUGGUUGCGUUUUGCGACACUUUUGCUAUAUACAUUUCAUGUUUUUUUUUCAUCAUAUAAUUUUGUUCAACUUGCUGAUCGGAAUCAUUUUUCGUUUUGCUUUUUCAUCUGGAACUUCUUUCAGAUCAUCAAGUUUUCGAAUGAUACGAUAUGUAAUCACUCCCAGCCAUUGCGAACAUGCCGUUGCUUGGUUUUUCAGGUGGGCAAUGCUGUUUCUUUCAUAUUUAUUUCGUAUUUAAAUUAAAUAUACGUUUCAAUUAGUUUCUUCUUUCUUCUUUGCAAUUUAUUUUGGUUCAUAAAGUUUUUCCUUGCCGAGUUAUUGAAGUUUCGUUUCUUUACGAGGUCCAUAAGCAUCUUAUGUUGGUUUUAAUGUCACAUUUGAUGUACUGUUGCUGAUUAAUUUCGCUUUGGAAUUUCAUAAAAAGAAGGGAUUUUAACACAAAUAGCCAAAGAUUCACUGUUUACUUUUUCUAGUUGGUAUACAUAGAUUAUACAGUAAUUAUACACAGUUAUGCACAUAUGAUACAUGAAUUAUACAUAUAUUCUAUAUCUGUCUGGCUAGUUUUAGUUUAAGCGAUUAGGUGGAGGCUAUUUGGGUUAAUUCUUCUAAAAAGAAUCACUUUACUGUUUCUCGGUCGAAUCUGUGGUGGCUCCAUAUUUGUUAUUGCAUGUACCCUUGUUUUUUGGUUUCUGCUGCAUUUUCUUUUUUGGCACUAAUUCAUCCCAAGAAAUAAUACUAGUAGUUACUUUUACCUUAUGGCAUGUGAAAUAUGCUUCCGACCUCUGUGAUAUACUCUUAGUGCUGCUGUCUUAUGGCUUCUCCUGGGAAUUGUGUUAUGAUCUGCAUUCCAUUUUGCCUUCCUGUUAAUGUUGACAUAAAUUUUGGUGUUAUUGAUCUAAAGUGUAUCCACGCCACAUCAUUUAAAAUACAGAUAGCUAAACACUAUCAACAAGAAAUUGACCAUUUUACCAGUAUAAUGGCCUACAGUAGAAGUUGAACUGAAAUACCACUUGGCAAUCUAAAUAAAAUCUAGUAACACCAUGUUAAUUUUUACCCAUUACUCUAGGAAAAUAAUGUUUAACAUUAACUAGCUUUGUUCCUCUAGAAUUGUUUAGAGAUCAUAUUCAAAGCGAUUUUCCUCGUGAAAUGGCUUGGCAACCUACUUUUUUGUAUUUAAACACAUGUUCUAACAUAAAUUAAGGUUCUUAAAAAAAAAAUUAGGGUUUUCAUUUUACAUUUCAAUGAGAGACCAAUAAACUCAUAUUCCCUCCGUUCCAAUUUUAUUUUCUUUUUAGUCAUUCCAAAAAGACUGACCUCUUUCUAAAUUAAAUGUGACUUCUCAUUUUUACCCUUUUUGAGAAGCUUAUGUUGCCACAAAAAUGCUCCGGCAUAUUUAAGAUCAAAAGUUUCAAAAGUAUUAUAGCCACACAAAUGUUAUGACAUAUUUACGAUCGGAAGUUUCAAAAAUCGUCUUUUCUUUCUUAAGCUAUGUGGUUGAAAAGGAGGAAGUAUUUGACAUGAGCCUACAAAAACAGAAGUGAGUAGUUGAGGAGCAUAUGAGAGAAUUGAGCAGGGCAAAUGAAAAAGUUUAAAGAGAGCAAAGUAUUUAGAAUGCAAUAUAUUAUGAUCCAAAAAGUAUAAGUUGUUAAUUCUAAUUAUAAAAAUAUAAGUUAUGGAUCCAUGUGGGAUUCAUAGGGAUGGCUAAUAGGAGAAGUAAGAGAUAGAUAGAGCGGGGUGAGAGGAGUGAAUGCCUAAGUAUAAGGGCCAUUAUCAAGGUGGGGUUAAAGGAAAGAUGUGUGAUUAGUGUGCUCGCAAGAAAUGAAAACGAAAAAAUACCAGAGUCAAUUAUCAUAAGUGUGUGAAAACAUAAGAGUGAGAAGUGAAAUGAUAUGCUUAGGAGGAGAUAAGAAGGGAUUGUGGUGUUAUAAGACAUGUCGAUGUUGAAGUUUCAAGAUGUGAGGAAGGAGAUUCCACAAUUAUUGUAAUCUUUGAAAGUGUGGAUAGUUCAGUCGAGUGAGAUUGAUGGGUCGGCAAGUGAGGGGUCAAAAUGGAGUUUUGAGAGGAGAUCUCAUUGGUGAUGCUAGGAUGGGGUAAUGCGAGAUAGAUCGGGAUUUCAGUGCAAUAAGACUCCUGAAGGAAAGAGAGGAAUGUGAGGCCAGCGUUUAAAUCCCAACAUAGGCAAAAAUAGUAGGUGAUUAUUCUCCUAUACAUGUGCUUAUAGGAGAUGACGGAAUGGCAGUUACCUGAUGGAUUAGUCGAGUGCAUGCGAACUGGCUUGAACCUUGAUGUUUUAAACGGAAAGAAAGAGAUGGUAUGACGAUCCUUUGGGCAAUGGGAAAUUCACGAUGGUAAUCAACUCUCCCAUUUUUUGAUAGGUCCACAACUGAAAAGUCAAUCAAGGCUCGACAAGUUUCUCAUCCAACCGUAUGGGAGGGGAUGUUGCUAAUAUUUAUCCAAAUUGCUUCUUCUCUAAUAUUAAACCCUAUACUGAUUUUGUAGAUUGUAGCAGAAUAAGGAGUACCCUUCCUAACAAUUAGAAGCGGCCAGUGCUGGAUGGAUGGAGGGAGUACCAUAUGCAAAGGGUUCCUCUUUUUCUCCGGCGAAGAAGUUGAAGCGGCUAACAAAUUAUUUAAGAUGGACUGGAGAAGUACUUUAGAGGAUAAAAAUAUAACAAGGGAACUGAUGAAUGAAUUUGGACAAUUGGAGAGGAAAGAGAGAGGGUGCUUAUUAAGAGGGAAAAAUUAGGAAAUAUGAGGUAAAAGAGUAAUUAGCUAAGAUGACAGUCACUCAAGCAUCAAAAGGAGAUAAAAUUUGAGGAUAUUGUGGUUGAAGAAGGGUGAUUGCAACAUAAAUUCUUUUUAUCUGUUAGCAAUUGCUAGUCGGAGAAGGAAUUUUAUGGACACAAUAAAGGUGAAAUAGGUAGAACAUGGAGAAAAAGGAAGUAAGAGGAGUUAUUGAGUGAAGAUAAUGUGGGCAUAAAACUCUAAAUUAAAGAGAGUGGAUUUUAGCAACAUAGGGAGAGAAGAAGCAAUCAGUUUGAGAGGGAGUUCUUACUGUUAGACGUUUGGGGGGCUGUUGUUACUGUUCAUGGAAGUGCUCAUCAAAGCUACAAAUAGAGUUGUGAUUGGGGGUUAUCUAAGAUCCUUGUAGCUAGCAUGGAAGGCUGGACCAAUGUAGGGAUGUUUCAUCUUCUCUUGCAGACAGUACUCUUGCAUAUUGACCCCGAGGCGCAUCAACUCGCUACUUGAAAAGCACAUAAUUAUCUAGGUAGCUUUGAGUCUGAAGAUAGACAUGAAGGCGUUGAGAUAAGUCUAGUGGGUAAAGAAGAUAACAUAGAGCAACUAAAUGAGAUCCUAUUGUAUGGUUGGUUCCCCUUCUGUCAAACUACCUGGGACUAAAUGCAGCUUAUUAUCUAGUUCUUAUAGCCUUUCUAUGGGGUAAAUGGUAAAGUUACAUGGGUAUUGCAUGGUAUUCUUUCUCCUUAUCUUUAUAGGAUUAGAGCUUUGAUUUGAUGUGCUUUUUUUUCUUUUUCAUUGGACAGUUCUUUUUGGUCCUGAUUAUGUUGAACUGUCAUAUUUUCCUAUCGUUAAACAUAGUCUUAUUUUGAAAUGGAUUUCUACCAUACAUUUGGUGGCUAGUGGGCUGUAUUAGCAUUUUGGUAAAUGACAAGGCAGUUAGUAUUUAGUCCUAUUUGAGCUGGUCUGGAUUCCAUUCCAUAGAUAGUCCUGGAUGUGAUGCAAAAUCUUUAGUGCAUUCGUUUACUCAUAUCCUUGAAUAAAGUUCAUCAUACAGGUUACUAGUGAUUUUAAUUGAAUAAUUCCUCUGUUAUAGAGUACAACGGCUAAAGUACCUAAUUUUUGGUGUGGAUUUAACCAUAGGUUCUUCAAGUUUUUGAAAUAAAAUUUACAUAGUUGGAAACUACAUAAAAGGCACUAUAGGUCACAAAAGUUAAUAAUUCAAAAUAUUUGAAAGGUUUAAAAAAAGGGGGUUGUGGUCAAAGAACUCCCAGAAUAUGAAAAGUGGCCUUUUUUCCCCAAAAAAAGAAAAAGAAAAAGAAAAAUGUGAUAGAGGAAGUAAUAGGUUUUAGAGGGAUAGAAGAAAUAAAUUAGAUACAUUUUUUACUGAUAUAAUUCAGUUACAGUUGCUUUGUUUAAUGCAACAAAAGAUGACUUUUUACCACAUCUUCAAUACAAUAGAUUUCCAUGCCUUAAUUGUGAAAAUAUGAUUCAAGAAUAAAUAAAAUGGUUAUGAUAGACAUCAAGAUGACAAGAUCAUAAUGCUAUUGCUAUACAUUGUUUGUUUCUAUGCUUUUGAAUAAAUGUGUGUGCAUCAAUGCAUGGGUGGAGCUAUGGUGGUGGAAGGGGGUUCCCUUCACCGGAAAAUUACAUUGCAUAUAUAAGGUCAAAUAUUUUAUGUAAACAUAUUAGGUAUUGAAUCCCCUUGGCCUCGGUGCAUGUCUACUUUUUUUGUUUUUUGAAUCUCCUUAGCGGAAAUCCUAGCUUCGCCACUUAUGUUACCAUUUUUUUUUUUAAAAAAUCCUAGCUUCGCCACUUAUGUUACCAUUUAAAAAAAAUAAAUCCUAGCUUCGCCACUUAUGUUACCAUUUAAAAAAAAAAAAAUCCUAGCUUCGCCACUUGUAUUAGUACUCUCUUACAAACAUAUCACCAUAAUACAUUUUCUUUUCUCUUUCUUUUCUUUUUGUAGAGUAUAUAUCUGCCUCUCAUAUUUGUUUGAGUCUGUGCCUCUUAUAUCAAGAUGGUUCAAGUCCCAACUCCUCCCCAAUUGUACUUCACUCCCUUCUUUUUUCUGUCAAUCUCCUUUUUUGUGAAAAAGUGAGCUCGUUCACAAUAAGCGUUAAGUUUUGGGAAGUAAUAAGCGGGGCUAGCUUACGGUCUCUGGUUCACCUACCUUGAGUAAUGCCAAUUUUUUGGAAUGGAUGAAGUGGGUUAUAACAUAUAUAAAGUUUAAAAAAAUUUCUGAAGCUCUUAAAGAAAGGGGAAACAAAGCUUGGUGAUUUGACCUCAUACUAAAUUGUAAUGGCGCCUCAAACUGAAACUUUUGGCAGUACAAAUGAAGUUCAGGAAUAAGGUUACUACACUAUUUCCUUGCUUGUCCCGUUAGUAGAAUAACAUAUUAAUGCUAUUGUCGUAACAGAGCAUACUAGUAUAUUUACUUUUCUGUAGUUUUAUUUACUUAGACCCUCUAAAUAAGAUUGCACAGUUGUUAUGUUGCUAAAGUUCUCAUUAUGACCUAAAAAUUUUCAUGUUGACCUUCAAUUAAACCAUGAUAGAACUGAAAAUAAAGGAUUCAAGUGGCUUAACUUAGCUUACUAUAUAUAACUGAAAAAAGUACAAUUUGAAAGAAUCUCAAUAUUGGCAACUCCAAGAGAGAACCAUGCCAUCUUACUGAAAUAUGGUGUAUAGAUCCUUGCUCUGUACAAGGGCUAUCCUUGUCCGGCCUGUCAGGGAAUUCUUAAUCUUGUUGCUACAUUGAUGUAAAGUGUUAUUUAGUUGAGAUACUGCAGUAACACUAGAUGGUCAAUUCUUUUUCCUUGAGCCGUGUCAGUUUCCUCUGAAUUUACUCGAUUCUGCAUCUUUAUGAACCUUACUACACUAGCUGUCUUCAUUUUUAUCCAAGUGCUAAGCCAUUAUGAAACCUUAUCUACGCCUCUUUUGUUUCUAUUUGUCUUGAACUGAGAAUCUUUGACUAAAAGAGAUUGUUUAAUUAUGUUUUAUAUUCUCAGUGUUUGAAAUUGCUGCUGCUGCCAUUAUUGAGCUUUGGUUGUAAUAAGUUUUCCAACCAUUCUUGGUAUUGGCAUUGUAAAAAGAUGCUCGAUGUGCUGAUUAUUCCACUAAAAACUAAGAAGAAACUUCUCCUUUUUGUUUAUUUUACACAAUUUUCUGGAAUGUCCCGAGCAGGUGGGAUCAUAUUCUUUGGUAACAUUGCAUGCUUGCAGUUUUGCUGUUUGAAGAGAAAUUCAAAUUUCUAGUUUUAAUUCCUUUACCUUGUCAAUAUGUAGUACCUGUACACACUAAACUUUGAUAAGCUCCGUGAAGUUUUUGCCUUUUUUUCAAUUCCCUAGUCUUAUCCACUACCCAAUAUUCCUUCAUUCACGUUCAUGUAAACUACAUCCAGAUAGCAGUUGAAUAGUCUUUUGUGGUUAAGACUCUACACCUUUUAGAUGACUGUGUUCUGCCUAUGUGUAUUUCCUGAAGUAAUACAGAAGACUUCUGCCUGAGAUGAACUUUAUGAUCAGACAGUUCAUGACCUAAGCAUGAAUGCUUUCUUGUUAAUUUAAGUGUGCAAUCCAUUGCUGUACAAAUAGAUAAUUUGGCGAGACUGUCUUUUGUAUUAUAGAAAUUGUUUUUGAUUGCGCAUGCCAUUCAUGUCGGUUUAGCAUUGGGAUCCUUGUGAUCCAGAAAUAACUUGUUUAAGAAGCACUUACUAUAUUCCUUAUUUAAGAAAAAAACAAACGCUUACUGUAUUUGGCAGCAAAGAAUGUAGUACUCAAAAUUGUGAAGCAUGUUUCAUAUAUUCUUUCCUGAUAUAAUUCUUUCUAUACAUAUUUAGUCUUCAGGCUCAAGAUCAUUCAUUCUUAAAUUCCCGGGAAGAGCAUUACUAAUAUAAAUUCGUAUUGUGUAUUUUUCUUUUCCAGUUGAAUGCUGAAAUUUGACAUUGGUGUGUAAUGAACUUAGUUUGUCCUUGCUGAAGACUAUUGCAUGCAAAGCAUAUUGAUGCAACUUUGAGGUAUGUCUUAAUGUAUUAAGUUGCUUAGCUCAGAUUUGUACUGUUUGCAUGUGGUGUGUUUCUCAAGGAAUUUCUAUGAGGAGCUACUGUUUUGUAAAACCUUUUCUGCUUACAUUUCUUCGCUCUUGCUCCUGUUUUAAGUUGUCAACUAUUUACAAUUAUUUCAGAAGUGUCAAAUCAAUUAUAAUCCUAGCAUAUAUGCAUACACAUCAUAAGCAUCAAGUGUCGAGAAAGAUAAAGAACUUAGAGAUACUGUGCCAAUGUAUUCUUUUAUUUGUUGUUAUUUUGACUUAAGUAGCUGUGCUAGGGAUUACCUCACACUUGUCUAACUUGCUGACAUUAACCAUAUGAACGGUAGAUUUUUCCUGACAUCCCUGCUUCUCUACCACUACUACCAUUACUAAUUGAAACAUAACUUUGUAAGCACGGCUGCUUCUUCAACACGAGAACUCAAAACUCUUACGAGUCUGGUUUUCCCGCUAAUGCAGCUGUAGCCUGCAGCAUGUUCCAGUUAGAUGAUAGUCAAUGAUCAAGGUCGUGAGCUACCAUUGUGCUUCCAGAUAAAGAAUAUGAAUAAGAAAUUACCCCAAUUCUGUAGUUCCUGAUGUGCCAUAGUUUUGUUGCUGUGGCUGGCUAAGCUGGAGAUGUACAGGAGUGUGGGGGUCUUCAUUAAUGCUUAAACUGUUCGGAGCAAGGGCUAUUCCGCUCACUCCAUUUGCAUCUCUAUUUCCAUAAACCUGUAAGUUCAACACAAAAUGUAGAAACAAUUUGCUAGAGUUCUAAGUAGAAUGGUGAAACUUUUUUACUUGGUAUAUGAAUAUGGAAGGAAAUAAUUGUUCUUGAAGCGCAGUGAAAGCUCUUAGUGAUGUACAUGGAUACCCUCUUAUACAAUUCCAUAUUUUCUUGACGAAUUAGGUUUACCUUCUUAUAUAGUUCCAUGUUUUCUUGAUGGAUGAGGUUUCCCUGCAAGGAAAAAAGUUAAUUUAGCUUCUUUAAAAGUUAUCCUUUUUAGAACAAAUUGAAAACAAAAGUCACUGCAUUUUAUGUUGAUUGACCUUUCGGUUUAGUUCUUGUAUCUCAUCAAUCAGAAUUUCAUCCUGUAGAAAUGAGAGGUUGAGUUAGUUCUUCUUUAGUUCAUAUAAGAUAGUGCACAUUUGAUGGAUCUGGAAGUUUCGUACCUUUCUCACACGGACACCACGGAGACUCAUUUCCAGUUGGUUCUCCAAGUUCUGUAAAUCUUUGACGCUCAGACCAGAAAGCUCUUCACCCAUCAUUUGUCUAUAGUGCAGAAAUAAACUGUUAACAAACACGCGACUUCAACAGAAAAGUUGAUACCUGACUGACUAUGAUUUAGAUAUACAUCCAUUUCUAACAACUGUUGCUUCUCGCUUCUUGGGGGGGGGGGGGGGUUGAUGUUAAACAGCUCGAGGGUUUGGGCUUUAGCAGAAAUCUAUAACACCAUUUGAGAUGGGCUUAUUAUUGGAUUUUCACUCCCGACAUUAAGUGGUUUCUGAGUUUAUCUAGUGUAAACACCUCUACAGAAACCUUCAGUAAAUUGCAUGAUUCACUGCAGUAUAUUUUGCAAAAUGUAGUAUGCUUUAGAAGUCCAUGCUAAUACUUCUAAUCAUGAGAGAUAAGAGAUACUGGGUGCUGCUUGAUACUUUAACGCCUUGAUGUGAGGGAUGAUAGUAAGACAUUGUAAGGAUUAUGCUCACGGUCUUGAAUGUCUCAUCAUUUUGAUUGGAAUACCAGUAACCUCAAAUAAUCUCUGAAUGUCCUUUCUGUUAGCACUUACAGAUAUAACCUUCUUAUGGAGGAUCUAGAGUGGAUAUCUCUGUUUCAUCUGCUAUUUUGAAAACUGAAAAUGCUACCAGCUAUCAAGUGGCACUUCCUAGCAAGGUGGCUGAUAGUUUAACCCUUAAUUUCUUGCAUAGCAAAAGCUUUUUUAGGGAAAUUGGUGGUUAACCUAGGGAUUGCCUAAAGCAAUAAAAAACAGAAAUGAGAAAAAGGAACGAGACAAGUUAACCUUUUUAACAAUAAAAAAACAAGUCGACUAUUUCAUUUCCGUAACUAUAAACUAAAUGACCUUAUCAAAAAAAAAAACUAUAAACUAAAUGAAAUGACAACAAACAUUUAGAAAAUGACAACAAACAUUUAGAAUUAGUCAACUAUUAACUAAUUCAAAUGAAAACUUGACUUCUGGGCUCCAAAAUGAUGAAGUAAGUUGAAAUGGAAAGGUCUUCAACAUAUAAUUUAGGAGGCAAAGUACUAAUAGAACUUUAGGAUUGAAAGAUAGAUAGAAAUGAGAGGAAAGAAGAGAGUACAACAACAACAACAUACCCAGUGUAGUCUCACAAGUGGGGUCUAGGGGGUUGUGUGUACGCAGACCUUACCCUUACUCUUAAGAAGACAAGAGGCUGUUUCUGGUAGACCGUCGGCUCAGGAAAGAUAAAGGGAAGGGGCAAUAACAAGAAAACCAAUCGGAAAGCCGAAGCAAAAAUACAAAACUAACACUAGGUAAUGCAAUCAGAAAACCGAAGUGAAGGCAACAACAAGUAAUAACAAAAGUCUAGGAAGACGAAAAUACACGAAAGACGCUAAGUGAUGUACUAGAGCUACUGUAACAAACAAGGACAUCGCUCGACUACCUAACCUUUUACCUUUAUUCUCAACCUCCACACCUUCCUAUCCAUGGUCAUGUCAUCAGUAAGCUGGAGCAAUGUCAUAUCUUGCCUAAUCACCUCUUCCCAUUACUUCUUUGGCCUGCCUCUACCUCUCCGUUGGCUCUCUAAGGCCAACCUCUCACACCUCCUCACCGGUGCAUCUGUGCCUCUCCUCUUCACAUGCCUGAACCAUCUAAGUCUUGCCUCCCGCAUCUUGUACUCCAUAGGGCGCAUCUUGUACUCCAUAGGGGCCACGCCCACCUUGUCCUGGAUAACUUCAUUUUUAAUUUUAUCUAACCUGGUAUGCCCGCACAUCCAUCUCGACAUUCUCAUUUUAGUCACCUUUAUCUUUUGGACAUGAGAGUUCUUGACUGGCCAACACUCCACCCCAUACAACAUAAUCGGUCUGACCACCGCUCUAUAGAACUUACCUUUAAGUCUUGGUGGCACAUUCUUAUCAUAUAAAACACCGGAAGCGAGCCUCCAUUUCAUCUAUCCCGCCCCAAUACAAUGUGUGACAUCCUUGUCGAUCUCCCCAUUCCCUUGUAUAACUGACCCAUGGUACUUGAAACUUUCUUUCCUAGGGAUGACUUGUGAAUCAAGCCUCACGCCUUGGCCCACUACCUGUGUCGCACCACUGAACUUACACUCCAAGUAUUCUGUUUUGGUCCUGCUCAACUCGAAACCUUUAGAUUCCAGGGUCUGCCUCCAAACCUCUAACCUCUUGUUUACAUCACCUCGCGUCUCGUCAAUCAGUACAAUAUCAUCUGCAAAUAACAUGCAUCACAUCACCUCCCUUUGAAUGUGGCGCGUCAGUGCGUCGAUCGCCAGGUUAAAUAGAAAUGGGCUGAGGGCUUACCCCUGGUGCAACCCCAUCACAACUGGGAAGUGUUUCGAGUCCCCUCCCAGUGUCCUCACACGAGUCUUAGCUCCAUCAUGCAUGUCCUUAAUAGCCCUAAUGUAUGCAACUGGAACCCCUCUAGUCUCCAAACAUCUCCACAGAACCUCCCUCGACACUUUAUCGUAAGGCUUCUCUAAGUCGAUGAACACUAUAUGUAAAUCAGAGGAAAGAAGAGUAGGUAAUUUAAUUUUUUUGUUUGCUCGGAAUGGGUUUUUAGGAAUAGGAAGGGAGGAGGGAAGAGGGAAUUAAGUUCGUUAACACAAUGUUCUGUCCAAAAGUGGGUGAAACCAAGAAAAACAAGACAUGCUGUAGUGAAACUUUUGUAGCAUUAAAAGAAAACUCAGGAUUAUUAACAAAAUAACUAUUAAGGGAAUUAGUGUCAAUUGAUACACAUUCCUUUUAUAUUUCCUUACUCCAUCACAGGAAAGUAACAAUCUGCUCUCCCUUUCUUUUUCUCUACAUCAUCUCCAUUCUUCUCUUUUCCCUUUUCUCAAUUCAAAAGAUCAGUGUUAAAUAGUUUAAGUAGAGUAAUGGAGGAAAUAAUUCAUUUAACCUAGUUACUUUGUUGAUGAAUUCAAUAAUAUACUGAUAUUAUGGGCAGAUUCCCAUAUGUAUCCAAAUCCCUGCAAAGAGCAUUCGGUCAUCAAUACUGAUUGAGACACCAUACAUUAUCUAAAAACAGUACGUCCCUUAUGUAAAUACUGCUUAUUUGCACAUGAAGCACAAAGUGACAGGGAUUGUCCAUUUUCCUCUCAAAUUCUUUGUUGUUAGGAUAGCUCCUUGUGUUACUAUCGGUUUAAAAGCACGCUUCCCAAAUGCUGUAGGGAUCCAUAUUGAAGAGUGAGGGAAGUUACCUUUUCUUUAGCAGUCCAUUAUAAAAUGAUUUCACUAUGAACAUAACAUCUUUCUGGCCUUUCCUGUUUCCAGCUACCUUUGUCCAUAAAUGAUAUUUUUGCUUGUACGGUAAUGUAAGCAAACUAUUAAGCUGUUUCAUCGUCCAAUCCUUCACUCAAAUGUAGUUUCUAUAGAAUUUCCUCAUUCUUUAUAAUUGGGACGAGUGUUAAUCUCUGCUGGCUGAAAGUAUUGAAUAUGAUCAGAAAACUUAACAUAAAAGAAUAUGACUACAUUGUCUCUAUUUCCAGAAAUUGAUUCUGGUUUCAUUACCUCCCUUCUAAUUUGACACAUCCAUAGAAUCUCUCCACAUUUUCACCAUAUCCUCCAUAGAGUUACUCCAUAUAGCAUGGAUAAUCUGAUUGGUCCUAAUUAUCCCACUUGAUCUACAUACUUUUUAACUAUGAUCGCUCUCCACAAUGGUUGAUUUCCAUGCGAAACCCCCAAGUCAACUUCCCUAGUUGAGUUCUAUGAACAUUCCAUCUCCCUAUCGUGUCCCAUAAUAGAUUCGUUUACACUUUUUAACCUUUUGCCAUGAUUCCUGGUACAUAGUAAGUUGACAGAUUCGAAAAAUUACUCUUUGAUAAUGGUCUCUCUCUCCCUUUUAAGUAAGUAUUACUUCUACCGUCCUUUAGUUUCUUUUUGGUUCUCAACAUUCUCUUUCAUAUUGCAGUCUUUGUAAAUCGUACUGGUAUAGUCAAUAUGGAUACAUAGUAAGUUGGCAGAUUAAGCAAAUUUCUCUUGAUCGCUGUGUCUAUCUCACUUUUUCAAGAAGUAUUUCUUCUACCAGCCUGUUAGUCUCUUUUUGACUCUCUCGACCAUCAGUUUUUUUUCUUUGACAAUCCUUGAAAGUCGCACCCAGCGGUAGUAUUGAUAAGUCAUCUUAUGAUGGGACCCAUACUGCAACUAUGGAUCUCCACCAGCUAUUUAAUGCUCUUCGCUUCAUCAAUCUUAGAGUUCCCUGAGACCACAAUAGUAGAGCUGAUUUGCCUCGGUAAUAACACAAAAUGUCAUCUGCAUAUAGUAAGAUAUAGUAGAUAAUACACUUGUAAACUAUCUUUCCUUCCCUACAAGCUGUGAAGCCCCAUAAAUAACCCCUGUCCUUAUUCUCCAUCUUCUUGUUGAAUAUUUCAAUGAUCAGUAUGAACAAUGUCAGGUGUAGGGUUUUUAAAGUCUUGCUUAAGGCGCAGUUAAGUCUUGAAGCUCAGUGAAAUCCAAUUUGUGGGAUUCACCUCCCAUGGUUGGCACUUUAGUGUAGGUACUAUAAUAUGUGCUUCUUCACCUAUGAGCUCCAUCUUUAAGAGCAUUGCACUAGACAAUAAAUAGAGUUGACAAAGUUAUAUUAAUUGUUAAGAAAGCCUUAUGAAUGAACUUUUAGCGAUUAGCAAUAAGAAAUUAGAAGCUGCACCAAGGGUGUGGCCUAGUGGUCAAUGAAGUGGGUUGAACACCAUGAGUUCUCUGGUUCAAUUCCCAACAGAGACAAAACAUUAGGUGAUUUCUUCCCAUCUGUUCUAGCCUUGGUGGACAGAGUUACCUGGUAUCUGUUGCUGGUGGGAGGUGGCAGGUAUCCCGUGGAAUUAGUCGAGGUGCACGCAAGCUGGCCCGGACACCACGAUUAUAAAAAAAAAGCAAUAAGAAAUUAGAAGUUCAAUAUAAGAAAAUUAGCCAUUAAAAACAUAAAACUAUGUUUUUCAUUUAAAUAAGAAGUUUAAAAUGGUUUCUGAGCUUACUUAACAUGACUUUUACUUCAUAUAUACAACCUAAUUCCAUUCUUUCGUACAAAGAACUAAUUUUUUUUUUUGUAGUUACAUUUACUUGCUUUACAUUUUUUUAUUAGCGCUUUUGUACGUUAAAACCCAUACUUCGAUUGCACUUUAAUCUUAAAGCCCAACGAACUUUAGCACUUUUUGCUUUUGACUACUUUGGUAAGGUGAUCACCUUGUCAUAGACCUCUUGAGCUUCCAAAGAAACCUUUGGGAUUCCGUUUACUAGACUGAGAACUUGAUAGUGGGCAUCAGAAAGUGGAUCAUUGUUUUCAUCUCUCCCAUCCCUUAUUCUCCAUAACGAGGUCCAGAAGUCAUGCUUUUUAUGGAUUACUUUACACAGUACUCGUGUCUCUCUACUCUUCCGUUCUAGCUCAGUCACUAUAUAAGCUCCUUGUAUAACUUAAAUAGCAGACAAAAUAGAUUUAAGGGCCCAAAUAAUAAAACAAUUCUAACAACGAAAAUUUCCACUUGUGAAACAAUUUGACUCCUAUGAUGUAGGAACUCAAUGAAAAUUACUGGGGUACUUUCUUCUGAAAUAAUUUUGCUCAAACAUCUCAAAAGCUAUCGUGGACUAACAUGAGCUCAAUUUAAGAAAAUACCUGAAUUGCUUAAUACACAAAAAUAUCCUUAUUUUUAUUCUAUAGGUCAUUGAACAAGUUAUUAGCAGAGAGAAGAAAUAUAUGUGAUAAAGAACAAGAAAGUUUACCGAUGAUUCUCUUGCAAGUUUUGUAGUUGUUGCCUCAGCACUGCCGCUUCCCUUUGCCAAAACUGCUAAGAAGAAAAAAUAUUUCUUACAUUUUGGAUUAUCAAGAACAAGAACAACAUGCCCAGUGUGAUCCCACAUGUGGGUUUUGGAGAAUGUAUGGUGUACGCAGACCUUACCCCUACCUUGUGUGAGGUAGAGAGGUUGUUUUCAAUACACCCUUGGCUCAAGAAAAGAAUUUUCAAAAUAGGUUUAAAAAAUACAAGAGUAAAAAAGUUAUGAUGAAAAUACUGAAACAAAGAAAAUUAUUGCCAGCAAAAUAGUAAAGAUAAUCGAAAUAAAAGAAACACCAGUUGUAUAAAAUUGAGGAAUAAAAUAAUAAUACUAGGAUAAUAAUACUAAUACUGAUAAAGAGAAGAGGGUGCUCUAAACUAGAACCACUGCUCUCCCGCAAAAAAAGAGAGAAAUCGCUUGACUACCUGCUAAUCUUCUACUCUAAUCCGCGGCCUCCAAGCUCUCCUAUCUAGGGUUAUGUCUUCGGUGGGCUGAAGAUGUGUCAUGUCCUGUCUAAUCAUCUCUCCCCAGUUCUUCCUCGGUCUACCUCUACCUCUCCUAAGACCUAUCAUUGCCAACCUUUCGCACCUCCGCAUUAGGGCAUCUGUGUUCCUCCUAUUCACAUGCCCGAACCAUCUCAACCUCGCUUUAAGGAUCUUGUCCAUCAUGAGGGCCACUCUUACCUUGUCCCACAUAUCUUCUUUCCUAAUCUUAUCUUAUGCUCACACAUCCUUCUAAGCAUCUUCAUUUCCGCUUCUUGCAUUUUCUGAACGUGUGAGUUCUUGACUAGUCAACACUCUGCUCCGCAUUUUGGAUUAUCAUAGGAGACAUUAAUGGAUAUCGCUGCAUGCUUUGAAAACUAGGUGCAAUAUCAAUAGUAAACAAAGCUUAGAUGUAAUGGGUUCUAUUUAGAUUAAUGUAUAGCCGUUCCCUUCCUUGCGGUCCAAGAAAUAGAUCCAUGUAUAACCUCAAGAUUGUGUAUUUUAAUUUAUUAGCCCUUUUAAAUUAGGGGGAAAAACAAAAUGAGCUAGGGUUACUUUCUUGAGGUUGCAUCCUGUCAAUGAUGAAAAAAGAAGGAAAAAUGAAAUACACUAGCUUAUGGUUCCGCUCCCCUCUAUUUCACUAGCUAACAUAAAUAAAAAUAUCAUUUCCUUUGUGUUAUCCCAAGGAUUGGAUCUGGUUAAGAAUCGCUGUAUACUCCUUAUGAAUGUCACUUCUCUUUUAUAAGAUUAAAAGGGAAAAGGAAGAACUUGAAUUCUUUUGAUUUUAGUUUUAAAUGUGGAGACACUUCUUGUGGUUAAUUUUUUUUCAAGAAGUAAAAAUUUUCAAAAAGAAGAAUCUGGUAUAAAUUAGACAAAUUCAAAAUAAUAGAUGCAUCAAAUAUGAUUAGAGGACGCAGCAUAUGAAACCUUACUGAUCUACUUUGGCUUAGAGACAACUUUAUCUUAAAAAAGACUUUGUAGACAUGCUGUCAAUUCUUGUUUCUUGAUUGCCUCAUUGAUAGGUUUCUCCUCUUUCUCUUACAUUGAUGAAAUGGUAGUGUCGUUUUUAAUAACUAAAACUUGAACUUUUUUCUUUUAAGCUAGUUCAGAUUAGGAUUUUGGAAGUUCUCUGGUUCAGGCGCAAAGUUCGACAUUUGGGAAUUGAAGGGGAUUCGAGUCUCAAACAUUAGUAGAUAACAUUAGAGAGUCAAAAAUACACUGACAAAGAGAACAUUGUUGCUGUGUCUGUGAAUCAGCUGCUUUCCAGAGUGACUCUUUGACCGUUUUCUUCUGUAUCUCCUCACAUUGAUGAAAAUGGGUGUAGAAGAGGAUUUCUACUUUUGGUACAAAGGUCGACAUGUAGGAAUAGAAGAGGAUUUGAGUCUUAACAUGACUAGGACACAUCAAGAUGUUGACCAUGCAACCAAGCCAGGUUGAAUUCAAUUUUUGUCAUUUUCGUGGAAGACAUAUUGUAGAUUUAGCUACAAGACUUCUUCUGCAUAGCACUAACAAUUUGAUGCAUCUCUUAGCAUGGACCCUAUUAUUGACUGGUUGCCCUGAUUAAUACAAUGCCUUGAUAUGGAUUUGCUGUAGAGUGGCUUGAGUGAUGUUAAUUAACAGCUCCUAUAUUUUGUGGUAAAUUACUCCUACAAACUUGUGAAGAAUUCUUCAAACCAAUGGGUUUGAAUGACAUUUCAUAGGGGAUUCAAAGUUUUGAAGUGAAAGAGAUAGCCACAAGGCAUCUUUUUUAUAUUUGUUGCUUCCUACCUUCAAAAGUUUUGCUCCACAAUAUGCCAUCAGCGAUAGAAAUGUAAGUUAUAGUUGUUUUGGUAGCCUUGAAGUUGAUGGCCAUUCUGGUGUGUGGUACUGCAUGGAGGAUGCAAAUUCAACGUUCUGCUUCGUAAAUGAGUUCUUACAGUUGCCGCAUAGUUACUCUAUGCUAUACUAUCAUAUGUUAUUCAAACCUCGGUCCUAAUUGUGCUAUAAUUUGUUUGUAACUUCCUUCUAUGCUUUGCACCAUAUGUGGGAUUUUUACAAUUGGAUCUAGCUUAAUUGACUGAGAAUAAUCCUACUGAAUAGAUGAAAUAGGACUCCACCAUCUAAUAGGUCCACAAGACUGAAUUUCCCCUCUUUGUAUACAGUUUUUAGUUCAUAGGAAGAGUUUGUUUCUUCAUUUACCAUCUCCUCUUGUACCUUUUAUUAUCAAAGUGAAAUAUGUGAAAGAAGAAUAAAAGAUUUGAUGCCUAAUGUUAUUGAUGGCUUUUUGGUAUAGGUUACAACAACAACAAUUACCCUGUAAAACAACAAUUGAUGGUGUACCUUACCCCUACCCAGGGGAGUAGAGAGGCUGUUUCUGAUAUACCCUCACCAGAAAAUAGAUGAAAAGCAAAAACAAUAAUCAGUAAAUAAGGCCCGGAAUUAUGAAAAACGGAAGAAUAGUGUGAACACAACAUUAACCGCUAGCCGUCUAAGACAAAACUCUAUCAGACUAGCCUCACACCUGUUACGGAGUAGAAAAAUGCUUGACUACCCCCUAACCUACAAUCCUAAUGCUCGACAUCAAGGGCCAUGUCCUCGAAAAUCUGAAGCUACGCCAUAUCCUGCCUGAUCACCUCUCCCUAAUACUUCUUAGACUGCCCUCUACCUCUUCUCGUACUCGUCAAAGCCAACUGCUCACUCCUUACCGUGGCAUCUAGGCUUCUCCUCCGCACGUGCCCGAACCAUCUGAGCCUCGCUUCCCGCAUCUUGUCAUCCAUAGGAGCCACACCCACCUUCUCCCGAAUAUCUUCAUUCCUAAUUUUAUCGAUCCUAGUGGACCCGCAUAUCCACCUCAACAUCCUCAUUUCUGCUAUUUUCAUCUGCUGGAUAUGUGAGUUCUUAACUGGCCAACACUCUGCCCCAUACAACAUGGGCGGUCUAACCACCGCUCUAUAAAACUUGCCUUUGAGUAUCGGUGGCACUUUCUUGUCACGCAGGACUUUAGAAGCUAACCUCCAUUUCAUCCAUCCAACCAAUAUACGGUGUGUGACAUCCUCGUCGAUCUCCCCAUCCCGCUAGAUAACCGACCCAAGAUACUUGAAACUGCCUCUUUUAGGAAUGACCUGCGAUUCAAGCCUCACGUCCAUGCCCGAUUCCCUCAACUCGGCGCUGAACUUGCACUUCAGGUAUUUUGUCUUAGUCCUGCUCAACUUGAAACCCUUAGACUCUAGGGCCUGUCUCCAAACCUCCAGCCUCUCGUUAACGCCUCACGUCUCAUCAAUUAGAACUAUGUCGUCAGCAAAUAACAUACACCAUGACACCUCCCCUUGAAUAUGAUGUGUCAGUGCGUUCAUCACCAGGGCAAAUAAGAACAGGCUAAGCGCAGAUCCUUGAUGUAACCCGAUAACAACCGAAAAAUGCUUUGAGUCAUCUCCCACUGUCCUAACCAGAGUCUUAGCUCCAUCAUACAUGUCUUUAAUCGCCCUAAUGUAAGCAACCGGCACACCUUUUGCCUCCAGGCAUCUCUAAUGAACCUCCCUACGGACCUUGUCAUACACUUUCUUCAGGUCAAUAAACAUCAUGUGUAGAUCCUUCUUCCUAUCCCUGAACUGUUCCACUAACCUCUUAUAUCUUCCGUAGUUGAACGACCCGGCAUGAACCCAAACUGGUUGUCAGAUAUAGACACCGUCCUCAUCACCCUNNNNNNCNNNNNNNNNNNNNUCCUUUGUUCUUGUACAACGGUACCAUCGUACUCCACCUCCACUCAUCCGGCAUCCUUUUCGUCCUGAAAAUAACAUUAAACAGUCCAGUCAGCCACUCCAAGCCUGCUCUACCCACACACCUCCAAAAUUCUACCUGAAUUUUGUUUGGCCCGGUUGCUCUUCCCCUACUCAUCUUACGUAUAGCCCCCACAACCUCCUCAACCUUAAUGCGCCUAUAGUACCUAAAGUCUCGGUGACUCUCAAAAUGCCCCAAUUCACCUAGCACAAUAUCCCGGUCCCCCUCUUCAUUCAGAAGUUUAUGAAAGUAAGUCUGUCAUCUCCGCUUAAUCUGAGCCUCUCCCAUCAAUACUCUACCGUCAUCGUCUUUGAUGUACCUCACUUGGUCCAGAUCUUGAGCCUUCCUCUCUCUCCCCUUGCCCAGCCGGAAUAACUUCUUAUCCCCACCUUUGUCUCCCAAUUCCUCGUAUAGACGCCCAAACGCUAUAGUCUUAGCCUCUGUGACCACCAAUUUCUCCUCCUUCCUAGCUACCUUAUACCUCUCCAUGUUCGCUUCUCUCUCCUCCUCUCCUGUGCUCCCUACUAACUUCAGGUACGCCGCCUUCUUCGCUUCCACUUUACCUUGGAUCACUCCAUUCCACCACUAGUCGCAUUUGUGCCCGCCAGAGUAACCCUUCGAGACCCAUAACACCUCUCUUGCCACCUCCCUUGUACAGUUCGCCGUCAUCGUCGACAUAGCGCUCGCGUCCCACUACUCCUCUAGGCUCGCAUAGACGAUAACCUCUCUUCCAACUCCUGAGGUUUAUCCUUAGUCAAGGCUCCCCACCUGAUCAUCGUUUAUUGCUAGUAUUGGUUAUGUUGAGGCCGACCUAGACCAACACAAAGUAAUGGUACUCAUUCUUCGUCUAUGCAUAUGUACGUUGAAGAUUUAAUCUAAUCUUAAAUAUUAAAAACUUGUUAUUUUAUUUUUCCAGCUACAUUUUUAUUAGAAAACUUACAAAAGUAAGACUCUUGAUUUUGUGUUCUAGUAUCAUUUCAUUCUGACGCUCUUGAGAUACCUCAUGGAGUUUAUUCUCCUCCUUGCUUCUGAAGAUGAGUUGAACACAAGCCUAUAACAUGAUCUAGGUUUUCAUGGUUUUGGACUUCAGCUUUGGAACUUCUAUUUAUUUUCAUAAUUGAGAUUUGGUAGACUUAUGGUAAGUGAGAGGAGUUGAAAGCAGUGGCGGAUCCAGAAUUUUCAUCAAGGGGUGUCAUAAUAUAAAUAAUUAGAUAUAUCGAAAAGUGAAGGAGAGUCAACGUAUAGUAAAUAUACAUAAAAUAAAAAAAGUUAUCUAGCAAAAUAGUGUAAUUUUCCGGCGAAUGGGUGUCGCUUGACAUCCCUUGCUUCAAUGUGGCUCCGCCACUGGUUGAAAGUUAUUUAAAAUGCUAAGAGGACCGUGUUAAGGUGGCAUUUGACUUAUUAGGGGGAGGAAAAUUGGAAAACUAUUCUGCAUGUCUUUAGUAUUUUGGCUUGAACAUGAUGUAAUACUGUUGGAUUUAUUAUCUCCUGUAUUUCAAUGUUGUAUUUCUGGGGAUUCUGCUGAACUUAUCCCAUGCUAUUAUUCAUAGAGUUAAGACUGUAAUUUAUCUGCAAUAGAGUUAAAGCACAGGGAUAGACAAGUAUGUGAUCAACACUUUGUUGAUAUCUAUGUAGAAUUUACAUUCUUCAUUUUAUACCAGAAAGAGAUAUUUUACAUGCUUCAAAUUAUCUUUGUCUUGUUUCCCAACUUGCAAUGAAGCUAAUGGUAGACGACCGCUCCUAUAUGUUGAUGGUGGGAUUAUGUGGAGAGAGGCUACAUCUCAUCCCACCCAUGUUAUAAUAGUUGGUAGUGCUUGAUAACGUGAAGUUUAGCAUUAGCACUUUUGACAAAAGGUAAGCAAAAGGUUAUGUGAUAAGUGAAGAGCUUAUCUACAUACGGAAAGAAAUCAUCUAGAGUAGGAUUGAACAGAGAUAUUGGGUCUCUUUGAGGUGGCAAAACUGAACCAUGGAUACCAUUGCCCCACUCUAUGGUAACCGAGGCUUCUAGUUGAGGUUUCAUGACAUUUAGGCAACUAUUAGUGGCUUUUGUUAAGAAUAAUACAUAAGUUAGUGUCGUUUAGAUGCAUGUUGGGGAGGAAGGAUAUCUGUCAGAUUAUUAUUUAGGCUCUUUAGUUGUUGGUCAUAUUCAGUUUGCUUCAUUUUUGUAGAGUGAUAGUAUGGCAUGUGAUGAAAAUUGGUUUGUAGAAUGGAUUCCUUCUGGUCAGAGGUAACUAUAUAGAGUCUAACCACAUCUAAGGCGGAAGGUUUAUCUGGUUAUAGUUCUUCAAUGUUUUAGCCAUAUCCUUGGUUCUUAUGUUGCUGUAUUUGCAUAAUAUGUAUUGCUUAGGUUUAGGGGUGGCAAAUAGGUGGGUCGGAUCGGAUAUGAGCAGGUCGAAAAUGGGAAUGCAAAAAUGGAUAAAUUAUCCGACCUAACCCAUAUUUAAUACGGAUAGAAAAUGGGUUAACCGNNNNNNNNNNNNNNNNNNUAAACUCAUUAGUUAUCUAUUGGUUAUACAUUAGUUAUUCAUUUUCUAAGUGGAUAAUAUGAUUUUUAUCCAUAUUUGACCCGUUUUUAAAAAAUUCAUUAUCCAAUCCAUUUUUUUAGUGAAUAAUAUGGAUGGAUAACUGUUUUUUAAUCCAUUACCGCUACUUAGGUUCAUGACAUAUGGGCAACAUUUUUUUCUUGUGCAGUAAGAAAUUAGCCGUGCCCCAGAUGGAGAUUAUAACACAGCUCUAGAUGAGAUCUUCUGUUCUUGGAUUUUGUGUACCGUAGGAAGUGUGUGCUAUGAGCAUGAGUGCAAUGUCAUGAUGGCAGUAUUAACCCCUCAGCAGAAUGCUUAAUUAUGCCUUAAAUUAUGUUGACCUAUGCAGUCUUAUUAUUAAAAGGAGUCAAGUUCUGCUUCCGUGAUCAAUCUUACGAGAAAUUACCUUCCAAUACCAUAUCCAAAGUUCCUUGCUGCACCUGAACUGAUAUGGCUCUCUGUCAGAUGAAAAUCCCCUGAAUGGUAGACUAAUCUACACUGCUUCAGUUUCACAGUAGUAUCAGGGUGUGUGAUUUCUGAACACAGGAAGGCCCAAUGUUUCUCCUGUUUCACUUCCCAUCACAUUUCGUUUACCUAUAUGCCUGAACUGCAUAAUUCCUGUAAUACUGAUAUGUGAAGAACGAACUAUUUUUUAAUGGGAAUUUUUAUUCCUUUGCAGCAUCUUGAAGACAUGAAGCAUAGCGUCUGACUUCUGUUUUUCCCUUCUGCAAUUGCAAAGAAGGAUUAGAGAUUGAUCUCCAAAUACUGAACAGAUGACAUGACAAAGACAUGUUAUAGAGUUGGAUACCUUGAGUGAAGCAGUGGUACCUAGAACCUAGUGCUAUCCAUGAAUGUCAUUAUCUGCUUAAUAACGACAAGAGGGACUGAGUAGAAGUAAGAAGAUAAGGUUCAGAUUAACACCAACUGUGUCAUCUUGGUAGAAAGUUUAGGACCGGUAUCCACUUCUCUUUUUUCAAAAAAGGUUUGACUCGUAUACUCAGUAGUACCACAUUCAAGUCAGACAAGUUAGGAGAUGAGUGUGCCCUAGCUGACCAUUAUCAAGAAAUGGACUUCACGGUAAGGAAAUCAUUACUCCCUCUACCACGAAUUGAAUUUCCUUGUUGAGUUGGCAUGACUCAGAUGAUGAAAAUUCUGAAGAUUUUGUUUGAGAUUUUGUGGAAACUGGUUAGAAGGGGGCCUGGGGCCUGGGGGGAUAAGCAAUCUUUGAAGUCUGUCAUACUAGAAGUUUUCCCACAAUAAAAGAACCUUUACACUGUAAAAGUAAUUUCAAAGAUGGCCAAACUUUCCUGUACAACAGAAUUUGACAGAUUGCUAAAUCCUUGAAGUCGAUUUAUUAAUGGUCAUCAUCAGUGAAAAGGUAGCAUGUUGCUUUUAUUCUAAUCAUGUGGCCUGUCAGUACCCUCAAGAACAUGAAAACCCUAAUUAUUGUUGUUUUAAUCUAGCAGGAAUCAGCCUGUGUCCAUGUAGAAUAUUUUUUCACAUUAAUAUGAAGACUGUAGUGGUUAGGUGGAAUCUGUUUAGCUGAAGAUGUUCUUGUUGAUAUGAUGCAAAUCGAAAUAAUUGUGAACUAUAAGACAGUUCUAUCCCUAGCUAUGCUUUGAUUGCUAGACAAAUGGGAGUCAUAGUCCCUGAUCUAUUCUUUUAUGUGACCCCUCUCCAGUUAAAUCCUGAAUAGCUGAAGUUGCAGUACGUUCAUACAAUAGGUAGCUUUUCAUGCUGCAUCAUAAUAAUGGAAUACUUAGUUCCUGUUCUCUGUCAAUGUGUUGGAUUGCCCCUGGCUGAUCGUGUCUUUUAUAAAACACAUUGGAGAAAUCUGCUCUAGUCUUGUAAAAUAUCUUCCUUCCGUUUAAACUAUCUGUCUUCAAACUUUAGCCUUCAGUCCAGCAUCUUCAACGGUACAGCUGACUGUAACUAUGAGAAUCUGCAUGCUUCUUUCUUGCAGCAUUUUGUUUGUUUUUUGCUUUUGCCCCUUUAUCCUGCUCUCCAUCUCCUAAUUCUAAUUAAUUUGCUAAAACUUGCGGAUAGGUGCUAAUAUCUUUUAAAUCCUUUUCACAAAGAGGUGUAAACAACAAUGCCCCUCAGGGUUUUGUUCUAGUGGUAAGAGCACAAUCGAUGAUGUGUGGAUUAGGCACAGGCCACAGGUUCGAAUCUUGCCUCAGACAAAGCCAGAUAUUUAAGUGGAGAUGGGUAGAGCGGCGGGCCCAUCAUUCACCCAGUUUCGAACCCUUUGGCCACUGGGAUCUCUCGGUAGUCAGGAAAAAGUGUUAACGACAAUACACCACAAUUUAUGCAUGUUGUGAAAAGAGGAAAGAGGAGAGAAACUCUUACUGAACUUCUCUUGUUAGAAAAGCUCUCGUGUCUUACUGAACUUUUUUGGGUUAACAUAUAUGAGGGCUCUUUUUUAAUGGACUGAAGAAUCCUAAUUAUUGGGGUUUUCAAUUAUGACAUAAUAGUUUAUAGUUCUCUGGUCAAUGGCAGAACAUUAGGAGUAAUUCUCACUAAGAUCAUUUUGACACACUUUUAGACUUAUAGACUCCUUGUAUCUUGGAUAGGAGUUGAGCAAAAACUUUAGUACAGGUUCAACUCCUGAUUGUUGACGGAACAGUGUUCAUCACCGAAAGGUCGUAUUCUUUCUCACAGACUGUUAUCGACACAGCCAAAGAAAUGUGCCUUGCAGCACAUGGGAAAAAUCGUCUUAAUUUAGCGGAAAGAGAUUUUGGUGACACAAAUCUCUAUUAAAUCAUGUAAGCUUGAAUUAAAAUUGAAGGGUAACAAGAAAUUAUUGGGGUAAUUGCUGGCAAAGCCAGAGAAAAGUGACCGGAAGAGACGAUGCCGUCAGGAUGGUUGCCUGAAAGAGAUCAGCGUGGUGCCUCAAAUGUUCUCUGGAAAGAAGUGUGGAGCCUGAAAAGGCACAAUGCUGCCUAAAUGAUGGCUGGAAACAAGAAUAGUGCUGCCUAGAAGGGUUAUCAGAAAGAGGCAAGAGUAGUACUUAGAUUUCCACAAAUAUCGUAGAAGCUUAAUACGCCUAAUACUACAUGGAAGGAGAGAGACGAAGAGAAACUCUUGUUGGAACUGGUUGAUAACAUCAAGAGUGCUCCUUGUAGAAAAGUUUUGAACUAUAUAUGAGAUAAGGAAGUUUCAUGUUCCUAAGGUUUCCUAUUUAUUACAUGAUAUAUAAUCACUAAGGAUAUUUUCCAUAUUAUUCUUAUUGAUCUUGUAACUUUCAUUGGUAAUAUAAUCAUUACCAAAUUCUCUGCUAUUUAAUUAUUCUGUUAACUUUGAACAUCUUUUUUUUUCUUAUUAUAGUGGUGUCCGGGUCAAUUUGCUCGCACCUUGAGUAUCCCACCGAAAAGCCUGCGGUACACAUGGCGCGAAAUCAGCUCACCAUGGUAGAGCAGAUAGGCUUAUACCGAGUGUUAUAGCUUAGCUUUGAACCUGAGAUCUCAGGUUGUUACUCAUGUGUCUCAACUGCUCAACCAUUUCCUUUUUCAACGACAUGAAAUGGCUAUGAUAGAAACCUUAGUAUGCAUAUUUUUCUUUGACUAGUUGACUGCAAAUUAACCAGUGAAACUUACCCUAACCUCAGAAGUUGGAGUUGCCAGUUGGUGAUUCUCCUCCUUUGUUUUGUUGUAUCUUUCAAUCACCGACUUCAUGCUGUCAAAGUAAAUAUAUUCAGAAUUGUCUACGUUGUACUGAUUGAGCAAAAAUUUUGGAUGUAUCACAAAGUUGUUCUGUUUGUUUCUAGUCUAGCCUCUACAUACAUAAUAGUUAAAUUGUGUGGACUUCCCUUGUCAAAAAAAAUUGUGUCGUCUCCAUACUAGGUCAUUGUAAUUAAAUACUUUUUUAUCUAAUAAGAAAGGACUCGAAUAAAACAGGGCAGAAAACAUCUUUUGCAGCCUCUUAUUAACACGAUGGCUGCAGUUCUGGUAUUUUAUUUUCUCUCUUUGGUUUUCAGUUGAAUGGAGUCGAGAGUGAUGGCACGCAAAACCUUUACAAAGUGAAUGGUACUGUCUUGAAGGUAGGUCUCUGAAGUUUGUUUGGCUCCUUUUACUCUAAUUUCAUGUACCAAUCAUCAAGGUAUGGAUUAACUCGUUAGUUGUGGGUGUUCCCUUCAUGCUUAGUAUUAGAAGCCAAACAAGGGGGGGGGGGGGGGGGGAAGGAAUAUCGAACACGAUCUAAUGAGCGUAAGAAAGCUUGUUAUCUUGAACACCAAGUUAUUUCUGUAGGCAUUCUCUGUGCUGCUUCUAAAUUCUAUACUAGUUAUUGAAUGUUGAUUGAGUGAUAAGGAAUUGUCUAAACAUACAACCUGAAUUCAGAUAAAGAAUAUAACAUGGGGAUAUUUCAGAAUGAUAACCCAAAUGCAUGAGGAAGAGAAUUUCCUAAAACAUAACUAGCAUAAUGUAAAUGCAUGCAAGAGAUGCAUAAUGAUAACUGCAACUGUAGUUAAGGAACUAUCUGUAGGUUUUUGGGUGAAAUAAGGUAAGUUUUAGGAUCCCGGAUAUGAUAAAAAGAAAAGAGGUUCAGUCUCUCGGGUCAAACUUUCCUUGCCUUUCUCUUCUGUUUAACAUAUCUUUAUUUCUGUUUCUGACUCCUUUUCUGUUUGUCUGUCUGUCUGAUGGAGUAUUUCUGAAUCAUUCAUGACAUUGAAAGCAAUUGUUUAGUGGUAGAAUGGUAGUAAUAGAUAAAAUAAUUCUAACAACAACAACACAUCGGCAGUAGUAAUUUCUCAGCCAGUAUGGUAGUGGGGUGUUAUGGUAUACUUCAUGAGUAGUUUUAGUGACUCAAUGAGAAAUGCUUAAUGAAAUCAUGAUAAAGAUAUGUUUAGGCUAGAAUAGAAAUGCUGGCAAUCAGAAGAUAGCACGAAAUGAUUGGAACAACAAAUUUAUUGGGCCAUUUGCAAUCAGAAGAUAACACGGCUUCUGAAGUCUGAUUCGCACUAUAACAUGCAAUGCAUCCCCUUCCUCUCUAUGUAUGUCAUAGGGUCUUUCAUUUGAUUUUGUCAGUAACAUGCUUGAUGUUAUCAAAACCAGAAGCGCAGCGAAAAAGGAACACAUUCAUGCAUGAGACAAAGAAUUGCUUGAUGUUCCAGAAUAAUAGUAAGAACAAGAUACUAGAAUAGAUGUCAUUUGAGAAAGGAGUGAUGUGAAAAACUUAAGCAUAUAUAUCUCAUUCUGGAGUCCUAACGGAAAAAGCGAUCGUCAUCUAGAGUUCUUCAUUCAUGUAACUGCUGGUGUAACUAGUUCUAUUAGCAGAAAGCAGCACCAGAAAAUAGUAUCAUUUGUUGAGAUACCAGACUUCGUAAUACAUGCCUUUGUCACCCUUGUAGCAGAGUUCUAACAUCGUCUGUAUUUCUGCUGGUUUCCACUUUUCAAUGUUCCUCCUAUAUUUUCUUGUGCAAUAUAUUCAGACCCGUCUCCCACUGUUACAUUAUAUGAUUAAAUGAGGAAUCUACCAUGAUUAUAAGUUGAGCUAUAUGGUGUGACUGCUAUUCAGAUAGUGUUCCAGUCAAGUUCUCAUAAUAAUUUUGUGGUUAAAGAUGUUUUUUUUUGGUAAUUAAACAUUUAUUAAUCACCAAGGAAGAUCCGUACAAAGCCAUAGUUAGUUAAACUCGACUAUCUAAAAACAAGAAACUAUCAAUUCCUCUAUCUACCAUCCUAGGAAAUUUAAAACGAACAAGAUUGAAAAUAACUCCUAGUUCUAACAGGGGAUCUAGCACAACAUGUAUAAGCUAUCUCUUUUGCAAUGGUGACCCAAUCUUUUUACUCUUCUGUUCAAAGAUCCUUUGGUUCCUUUCUAUCCAUAUUUCUAUAUAUAGCAACUUGAAAAUCUGGGCAGUUGGUGAUUUUCCUUGGCAUUCUCAAUAGUCCACUGUUGAUAUUGCAUCCAUGCAGUUGGAAAAGUUGUAUUCUUCUUCCCCCAUAGCAGUACCUUGUCCCAUAUCUUCCUUGAGAGUCUACAUUGGACAAAGAGAUGUUCAUUUGUCUCAUUGUGUUCUUGGCAUUGGCUACACUUUAGUUCCACAUUGAGUCCCCAUUUUACUAGCCUAUCCGCAGUGAGUAAUCUUUCAUGCAAGUGAAGCCACAUGGUAAAAUGUGCUCUAGGUCUAGCAUCCCUUCUCCACGCUCUAGGUCUAGCAUCAUUGGAGAACAUUAGGCAUUUCCAUGGUAUUCUUGGUAGGUCUCCUAGGUAGUGUUGUCAAAAGCGCACUUAAGCCCUGGAGCGAGGCUCAAAAUAUGUUGAACGCUUCGCCUCGCUUUGUGAGCGCUUUAGUGUUGCAUCAAGGCUCUAUGGCAUACUUUCUCUUGCCAAUUAAUGUAAUCCUGAAAAGGCGAUAUUGAACAAUUGAUAUUUCGCUUUAUCGUAAUUCAAUUUCUUUGUCCAUAUUUUUGUUAUUCAUGUUUGUAAUUAUUAGUCUUAGACUACAUAUACAUAUUUUUACUUUUUCUCCAGUUGCGCCUUUUUUCAUUAAAAACCAUGCUUUAUUUGCGCUUUGCGUUUAAAGCACCAAUGGAUCUUAAGAGCUUUUUUGUGCUUUUCGCCUUUGAUAACACUGCUCCUAAGAGCUGCAAAUAAGUCUGCUUAAUCAAGCUUUUCCCUGGUGCAGGUUGGUCCAGUAGUUGCAUCAUGGUAGUUCUUGCAUCAAAGAUCCUCCUAACCAUCCAACAUGCACAUUGUGGCACCUUCACGAUAGCAAAUUGCUGCCCCUUGAUGUAAUAGCUAUGAAUCCAUCCAUAACCUGUCAGUUUUAUGUGCUAAGUCCCAACAGGUUUUCAAUACUGCUGCUCUAUUCCAUAGCCUUAAGUUCAUGAGGUUGAGUCCACCUGCAGAUUUAGGGGAGCAAACCAUUUCCCAUGCAACCAAAGCCUUCUUACUUAUUGUGUUGACUCCUGACCAAACAUAACUACGACAGUAUGCAUCUAUGAUACCCAAUUUCUUGGCAAGGAUCAUGAAGAGUUGAGGUCAAUAGGCUUGGAUGCCAAAUAUGACUGAUUUGACCAGUAUCCUCCCAGCAUAGGACAAUUUUCUAGUAGUCCAUGAGGAGAUUCUUUUUUUUUUUUUUGAGAAGGUAACAUAAUUGUAUAUUAAUAUAAGACUUCACUAAAAUUGUGAAGUCACCCAUAAUUACAAAGAAAGUGCCCUAGCAAAAAUAAAAGACACUUUAAAUCCUUGGUCUUCUUACAAGGAUUCUAGUACAUCUAAAAUGGAUUCAAGAUCCUCCAAAAACUUCCCUUUACGCCAAAAAUGUCCUAUGCUGGGAGAUUCUUUUAACUAUCUUUUGUACAAGAGGCUGCCAUUGUGUUGUGGUCAACUUCUUAAUUGACAAAGGUAUGCCCAUGUAUUUGAAUGGUAGAUUCCCAUAGGUGUAUCCCAGCCGCUGCAAUUUUUAAUCCUUUUCUUCCUGUAUCACUCCUCCACAAUAUAAUGAACUUUUGCCUAGGUUAGCUUGUAAGCCUGAGGCAGAGGAAAAUUGAUGAAAGCACUGUUGAAGGUGAUAUAUAGACCCCACAUCUCCAUGAGCAAAGAGUAAGAGGUCAUCUGCAAAGGACAGAUGUGUAAUCCCCAGCUUAGCACAUUUGGGGUGAAAUCUGAAGGCCUUCUUAUCUUUCAAAUUGUUCAAUUGUCUGCUAAGAUAUUCCAUUGCUAUGGCAAAAAAGGAAAGGGGACACUGGAUCCUCUUGUCUCAGGUCCCUUGCAGCAUCAAAUGGUUCAAUUGGCUCACCAUUGAUCAAGAUAGAGUAGUUGACUGUUCUAAGGCAUUCCAUAAUUCAUUCAAUGAAUUUCCUGAGAAAAGCUAAUUCCUCGAAAAGCUGUUCUAGAUAGCACCAUUCAACUAUGUCAUAAGCUUUUUGUAGAUCAAUCUUGAUCAGACACCUAGGAGACACAUGCUUCCUAGCGUAAGCCUGUACUAGCUCAUGAGCCAAGAUGAUGUUAUCUGCUAUUUUCCUUCCUAGUAUGAAGCCUGCUUGUGCUUCACAGAUAAUGUCAGGUAUCACCUUUUGUAAUUUUGAUGCUAAGAUUUUUUAGAUAAUUUUAUAUAGAACAGUGCAGCAUGCAAUUGGUCUAUAUUAUUUCACUGUGAGAGGAUUCUCAGACUUAGGGAUCAAUGUGAGUUUAGUGCAAUUACGAGCUCUGUAUAGCUUUCCUGUUGUAAAGAAUGCUAAAACAUCAAGGUUCACUUCUUCCUUGAUUAUAUGCUAGGUCUUUUUAAAAAAGAUCGUAUUUUACCCAUCAACUCCAAGUGCCUUGUCAUCUCCGAGCAUAGGCUAUCAUAAAUCUCAACAGUGUUAACAGCCUCCCACAAUGCCAAUUGUUGUUGAUGAUUUAACUUUGGUCCUUUCUGCAUGAUCAACCUGUUUAUAGCUGUAGUUCCUUGGCUGAGGUCCCCAUGAGGCUUUUAUAAAAAGUGAUGAUUUCCUCUAUUAUACCCUUUAGAUCAGUGAUCUUAUUUCCUGCUAUUGUAUUGAGUUCCAUUAUUUGUUUCCUGACUGUUUUCUCCUUGAUUACUGUUGUGAAGUACUUGGUGUUGGAAUCACCCAAUUUGAUCCAUCUAAUUAGAUUUCUGUCUCAUCACAUUCUCCUCUAUUAAAGACCACUUUUCCAAGGCUUGAGUUGUCUUUUCUCCAGUAUCACCAGCUCAUCUGUAUACUGCUGAGUUAUUUGCUCCUGUACAAGCUUCAGCUGUUGUUUAGUGAUGUGAAUCUUUUGUGAGAUGUAGCUAAAUUCUUCUUUAUUGAGCUUCUUGCACAAAGGUUUCAAGGCCUUCAGCUUCAUCCAUAUAUUCUUCACGGGGUUGUUAUCCAACUGUUUUUGCCACACCUCCUCGACUAGUGAUUCAAACUGGCUAUGUUCAGUCCAAGUGCUAAAGACCUGAAAGAGUAUUGGGUGAUUUGGAUGCAGAUUUCAGGUGUAGUAACAUUGGAGAAUGAUCAGAAAUGAGUGGAAUAUCAUAUUCUGAAGAAAUGAGUGGAAUAUCAUAUUUUACUUUGAUAUAGCCCCAACACAUCAUCCAAAUCUCCGUUACCCAAGGCUCUAUCAGUUCUACUACAUACUCUGUCAUUACCCUGUUACUUGUUUGACCAUGUAUAAUACUGUCCACUCCAGUGUAGCUCAUUAAGGCCUAGGUUGAGUAUACAAUCUUCAAAGUCUUUGAUCUUAGAGGCACUGAUAGGGCUGCCUCCUAAUCUGUCUAUGGGAUACAAUACAGCAUUAAAGUCCCACCCACCAACCAAGGGAGGUUGAUUGAAGGGCCCAAUGUAGUCAAUGCAGCCCAUGAGGAUAACCUGCUCCACAGUGUUAAAACCAUAGAUAAUCGUCACCAGUUGUUCAGUUGCAGUAGUUCUAUCUGUAACUUUACAGUGGAUCAUUUGGGCUGCUACAACUAACAGGUUCACGUAAAACCUGUUAUCAUCCCAGAUUAGCCAUAUUCUUCCAUUGUCUGCUUCCUAAUAGUUAUUGUGAAAUCCCCAGCCAUGAGCAAUGUUUUUAAGUAUCUUCAUAGCAUUGUGUUGCUUGGUUCUUGUCUCCACUAAUCCUGCUAAGUUGAUUUUGCCAGUUCUGGGGUAGUUCCUUAGUUUCUUUUGCUUAUACCUCUUAUUAAUGCCCCUCACAUUCCAGAUACACCAAGUUAUUGAGAGGUAUUUGGACCCUUCCCUUUAUCAGGAGGCAUUAUGUCUUCACUUCUCUGUUAUCUCAAAGGUGUUUAUGAGUGGAGUAGUCCCCAGUAAAAGAAAGUUAUUGUAGUGGAGGGCUUUGGAGGGCUUUGUGGCGUUGGGGCCUUUCCUUUACUCUUUGUAGUUACAGUCACUUGAUCCUCUUUGGUUGUUUGAGCACUUUCAUCUUGCAGGAUAACAGGCUGCUGCUGAGUAUGCACCAUUAAAUCAACUUGUGGUUGCACACUGUUGCCUUGUAUUCCUUGGGCUUGCUGCUGUUGCAUCUGCACAUUUCCUUCAGUAGGUUUAUCACUUGGAUUCUUAGUUCUCCAUACCUGUUCCACUCUUUUUGGACCUCUCCUCUUUCUCUGAACUUCUGGUGGUUGCUGGCCAGUUUGUGAUUGGGUUUUACAUGAGUGGCCUACUUGGAGACACUGAUCACAAACUCAGGGUUUCAGUCAUAAGUUACUCUCUGUUGGAUAACCUCCCUAUUUGGCUCCAUCACAGCCACCUCUUCAGGGAGUGCCUUCGUGGCAUUCACCUCUAUCAGCAUCCUAGCAAAUGAAAUUCGUGUUUGUUUGGAGGUGCACUCAUCUGCAUAUAUUGGAGUACCAAUGAGACUUGCAAUUCUACUAAGAGAAUCACUGCUCCAACAUCUCAUAGGAAGCUUUGGAAAUUUGACGUUGUUAAUGGUAUAGGGCCCUGCAUAGAAUAUUUCCUUCAUGUCCUGUACACUGUGGAAUUUCACCACAUAGUAGCCCUCCUCAUGUAGAAACAAGUAAGGUGUAGCAACACUCGGACCAAUUUUUCCUUAUGUAUCGGCUUAUCACAUUGAAACCAGGCACCUCUCCUAACACAUAAACAAUAAGAGCACUCGUCCACUUCUCAGCUUCCUUGUGCAGUUGACUACAGAACCUGCCCUUUACCGUCGUUGCUAAAGCAAACAGCCAAAGCUUUCCUGUUGAUUUCACAAGCAGCCGAUUUUUCAUGCUUUGGUCUCAUUAUCUCACCUAGUGGGACCGCCCAUCUACCUCGGCUGCCUUGUCUUCUUCAGUUGGAACAUAACCCAGCCUAUAAGUUGCCUUGUGAUUCACAAAGUUUGGUGACCCAUGUUCCUUAUUAACUUCAGAUUUAACUAGUUGAGCCAUGGGUUGUCCGUUCACUAUCUUAGGUGGAAUGUAAGAAAGAGACAUACCAUUAGUAGCACAUCUAUUUCUAGCAAAUAGGCUUGUCCAUGGUGCCUUCGCUGGAGCAUUCUCUUCAGGACUUGUGCUUGUUCUUUCCAAAUCCAUGGGCUUCUCGCUAUGAUUGCCUGAAAUUGGUCUCCUCUGAGUUGUUGCUUCCAUCAAAGUCCCCACCGAAGAACUCACUCCCACUGGGGUUACUGUUCCAUUGGAUUUCUCCAUUAGGGUUACAGCGCUCGUGGUCAAUUCCUUUGGUUUUGCUGCUGCAUUUUCCCUUAGAUCUAAUUGCGUGCUAAUUUCUCUUGUUAACAUGUCAAUCGCAUCUCGUCCGGUGCUUGCAUGGUCAAAAUGGUCCUCUGUAAUUUGUGCUUUUGCUUUGGAGGUUUCAGGCUGCAUCCUUGCACCAACUGUGCUUCCAAACGAAACAAUUGGCACUUUUUUUUGUCAUCCCCUUCGCCGUCCUCUGCCUCGUCCAGGCCCCAUGGUAUUCACAGUGGCGUAGGUUAACUACCAUGCGCCGGGAGCAUGGUGAGAGAGAAGAGAAGGUUAAAGAUGUUUUUACGCCAUAGCAUAUUCAAUCCAUUGCAAAAGUGGUUGUGAUCAAUGUAAGAUUCUAUGCAAGUUCACAAACAUCACUAUUCUAACAAGGCUCUUCCAUAUAUAUCUAUACUGAAGAACAACUUCCGUUCCUAUACAAGUAUAAAGGCACAUCAAACUUCUGAAGUCUUGAAAGUUUAACAAACAGAGAUUUUUCUGUCUAAUUCGAAAUGAAGGGAAUUGGAUCCUAUCAAUAUUGAAGUGUCCUCUUGCUUCCCUAGUUAGCUCUAGUUUUACAUUUUCACAUAUUCCUCAACUUUCCCAACUUACUGCGAUUGAACUACAUUGAUCUACUCCUCCCAAAUUACAUAGUCUUCAAUCAAUCACCAAAGUUGAAAGGGAGAGAAAUACUUUCUCCUGUUGAAAUCAGACCAAUUUUGAAUGUCAAACAAAGUUGAGCAAGGUAACUGAUACUUACCCAUCAUCCCUGGACAAAAUUCAUCAAACUAAAUUGAUUAUUGUUAUGAAGUACAUUUUGUUUUAGCUCAAAAUAUGACCUUCCCUUAAACAAAGGUAGUCCUGUUAUACAUCCUUAAACAAAGGUAAUCUUGUUAAAAAUCUUGACAACUGUUAGAUAAGAUUCUAGUGGAAUGCACAAAAGGUUUUCAUUGCCCUAUUAUCAGGAGGCAGUAUCGCCCUUCAUGCCCUCGGUAAUUGGCAUAAAUAAACUUUUAUCCAUGGCACAAACUUCUACAUUAUUCUAGCAUUAUUCAUGAUUGCAGGUAAGCUCGACCAGCUGGGGAGAACCUUGGAUGAAUGCAAACUACAAGGAACAAAACAAGGCGGCAGAUCAACUAACAAAGGGUUGAUAAAUCCAGCCAUUUUUAGCAAAUUUAUUUUGUUAUAUUGUGUAUUUAUUCUUUUCAUUUAGAGUAUAUGUUUAGCUGUUUUAUUGUUCUAUCUUCAAUAUGUUGGGUCAAGUCCAAUAACGACACUAUAUAACAAUGUGUAAACAAUUAAUAGUUUAUCUAAUUUACGU
Molecule: long non-coding RNA, 41738 nt
Filed under: Nicotiana tabacum (common tobacco)
Lineage: Eukaryota; Viridiplantae; Streptophyta; Magnoliopsida; Solanales; Solanaceae
Description: long non-coding RNA (NTAB_LNC000377)
Source: RNAcentral